GGAAAUGUGGCUCAGUGGUAGAGUGCUUGCCUUGUAUGCAUGAAGCCCUGGGUUCGAUUCCUUAGUACCA
RNAcentral lists this transfer RNA (70 nucleotides) under Dipodomys ordii (Ord's kangaroo rat). It matches the Rfam family "tRNA". Rfam says of the family: Transfer RNA (tRNA) molecules are approximately 80 nucleotides in length. Their secondary structure includes four short double-helical elements and three loops (D, anti-codon, and T loops). Further hydrogen bonds mediate the characteristic L-shaped molecular structure. tRNAs have two regions of fundamental functional importance: the anti-codon, which is responsible for specific mRNA codon recognition, and the 3' end, to which the tRNAs corresponding amino acid is attached (by aminoacyl-tRNA synthetases). tRNAs cope with the degeneracy of the genetic code in two manners: having more than one tRNA (with a specific anti-codon) for a particular amino acid; and 'wobble' base-pairing, i.e. permitting non-standard base-pairing at the 3rd anti-codon position. The record is from Rfam by way of RNAcentral. Lineage: Eukaryota; Metazoa; Chordata; Mammalia; Rodentia; Heteromyidae.